Molecule: ribosomal RNA, 874 nt
Filed under: uncultured archaeon
Lineage: Archaea
Description: bacterial SSU rRNA
Rfam family: Archaeal small subunit ribosomal RNA
Source: RNAcentral
ACUAAGCCAUGCGAGUCGAAUGUAGCAAUACAUGGCGAACUGCUCAGUAACACGUGGACAACCUGCCCUUAGGACGGGGAUAAACCCGGGAAACUGGGUAUAAUACCCGAUAGGUCUCGAUUGCUGGAAUGCAUCGAGAUUUAAAGCUCCGGCGCCUAAGGAUGGGUCUGCGGCCUAUCAGGUAGUAGUGGGUGUAGCGUACCUACUAGCCUACGACGGGUACGGGUUGUGAGAGCAAGAGCCCGGAGAUGGAUUCUGAGACACGAAUCCAGGCCCUACGGGGUGCAGCAGGCGCGAAAACUUUACAAUGCUGGCAACAGCGAUAAGGGAACCUCGAGUGCCAGGUUACAAAUCUGGCUGUCGAGAUGCCUAAAAAGCAUUUCAUAGCAAGGGCCGGGCAAGACCGGUGCCAGCCGCCGCGGUAACACCGGCGGCUCGAGUGGUAACCGUUAUUAUUGGGUCUAAAGGGUCUGUAGCCGGCCGGAUAAGUCUCUUGAGAAAUCUGGCAGCUUAACUGUCAGGCUUUCAGGAGAUACUGUCUGGCUCGAGGCCGGGAGAGGUGAGAGGUACUUCAGGGGUAGGGGUGAAAUCUUGUAAUCCUUGAAGGACCACCAGUGGCGAAGGCGUCUCACCAGAACGGACCUGACGGCAAGGGACGAAAGCUAGGGGCACGAACCGGAUUAGAUACCCGGGUAGUCCUAGCCGUAAACGAUACUCGCUAGGUGUCGGCCACGGUGCGACCGUUGUCGGUGCCGUAGGGAAGCCGUGAAGCGAGCCACCUGGGAAGUACGGCCGCAAGGCUGAAACUUAAAGGAAUUGGCGGGGGAGCACCACAACGGGUGGAGCUUGCGGUUUAAUUGGAUUCAACGCCGGG